CGAAAUUCUGCAUAGAUGGAGAUAAAAGCUCUACUACAUGCAAAGAGGGCAUUUUUUCCCCUUUACCACAAAAUAUUGAUGAAGUGCUUUAUUGAGGUGGAGAUCUCAUUAAUUAUUUGAUUUACAGAAAAAGAAGGCAGAGGGAAAUGUGUGCCUGGCUAAUACCAUGAUGUACCAUCUUGAGACUUAAGAUCUUUUUAAUGUAUUCAUCAGGGGUACAUCUGAAAGGGGAAAGAGUGAGCUGAAUGGGCCCAUUAAUUUAAUUGAAGCAGCUCAGACAAGAGAUAAAACAUCCUAGCCUGCUUCUUUUCAUACAGCAUGAGCGCUGUAAGUAAACAGGCAGAGAUCCAAACACACCAAAAAGAAAUAAAGGUACAUGAAGACCCUAGAGACUUCAAGGCCAUGGGACAUCAACAGAUGCAGAGGUGAAUUAACCCUGAAGAGGCCCUCUCUUCAUGCACCACCAUGUCAGUGUUCUGCGGGCACUGCCUAGGCUUUAUUGUGAAACUGAAGGACUCUGAGGUUACAUGACUGCCUCAUCCUUCUUUCAUUGGCUAACACAUGGACUUUGUCAAGUUCAACUGCCGAUGUCAUCCCAUUGGCCAGAAAGUAUUCAUGGAAGGAGAGAAAAUUCUCUCCUCUGGAACAUGAUCCAACAUUCAGCACUGGCACAGGACAACAUUAACCAGAGACGUCUACUCUCCUGACCAAUGAGGUGCAGACUCCAGGGCAAUGCUUCACCACAACUCUUACCUGAUGUACUCAAAGACGAUUGCAUCCAGAUGCCAUCAACAAAAGUCUGAGUUUUGCCCUUGCCAGUACCAGAGAUGGAUAAUGCUUCACUGUGUAGGGAGGAUUUGAAUGGCGAAGAGCCUGGAUAGGAGAAAAGACAAGUUAAUUAACCUGUCAAAUCAUUCUGUUCAGAGAACAUAAAUUCAAAGGAAAUUGCAUAAUGAAAUAACAUUUCCAUUUUCUUGGUUUUUUUUGUAUUCUGAUUCAUUGUUCAAGAGGUACCUACAAAUUAGUAUGGUUUUGGCAAAGAUCAGAUAUAAUGUCUGAGGAAUUUUGCAAUGUAAAACAAGUUAUAUGAUUCUUAAAUUUGUAUGUGCUUAGGACUAACAGGAAAUGUAAUUCUGAUCCUUUACAAUGGUUACUAGAUAGAUAUCAAAUACUAGAACAUAUAUGAAAAAUGUUUAUAAUAGGCGUAAAAAAAUUAAAGACCUCUGUAAUGUAAAAGAAGAUGUUUAAAAAGUUAUUUACAUUUACUAAAUUACACUCUUAAUAACAAUGCAGAAUUUAUUUUAAAUAUAAUUAUGUUUCAAAUUUCUAAUCCUUUAGCUAAAGGAUUAGCAAGCUAUGGUCCACUGCCUGUUUUUGUAAAUAAAGUUUUAUUGAAACACAACUUCUCUCUUUGUUUACUUGUUGUUGACGGCUGCUUUUGUGCAACAACAGCAAGGCUGAGUAGUUGUAAUACACUGCAUGUUUCUCAAAGCAUAAAAUACAUAUUAUCCGACCUCUUUACAGAAAAUAUUUGCGGACCCCUGCUUUAGACCAUUACUUGAAUCAGAUGUAAAAUAUGUCAAAAUCUCCAUAAAACAUCAUAGCAAAAUUAACACUGAAAAAUCGCCA
RNAcentral lists this long non-coding RNA (1629 nucleotides) under Homo sapiens (human). RNAcentral's name for it is "HSALNT0087614". Lineage: Eukaryota; Metazoa; Chordata; Mammalia; Primates; Hominidae. The record is from RNAcentral.